UAAAAGUUUUAUUUUAGCUUAUUAAUUUAUUAUAAAUUUGUUUUAUAUGUAAAUUUUUGUGUGAAUUUAUUUUAUUCUAAAAGAAUAGAAUGUUAUUUUUAUUCGCAGUAAAUAAUAUUAAUUAUUAGGUAAUUCUAGAAUUAGUAAUAUUAUUAAGUAUUGGCUAAAUUUGUGCCAGCAGCUGCGGUUAUACAAAGAAUACAAAUAAAUUAUAUUGGGGAUAAGUUAGAUAAAUAAUUAUUUAAUAAAUAAUAAUUUUUUAGGUGAAAUUUUAAUUUAUUUUGAUUAAUAAAAUUAUAGUUAUUGAGGCUUGAAAAUUUUUGUAAUAAACUAGGAUUAGAUACCCUAUUAUAAAAAUUGUAAAUAGUUAACCUUAGAGUAGUAUUAGUUAAGAUCUUGAAACUCAAAAAAUUUGGCGGUAUUUUAGUCUAUUUAGAGGAACCUGUAGUAUAAUCGAUAAUCCACGAUGGACCUUACUUAAUUUUGUUUAUCAGUUUGUAUACCGCUGUUAUUUGAAAAUUUUAUAAGAAUAUUAAUUUUCAUGAUUUUAAAUUAAACAAUAAAUCAGGUCAAGGUGCAGCUUAUGAUUAAGUAUUUAUGGGUUACAAUAAAAUUAUUUAUAUGAAUAAAAAUGUGAAAAUUGUUUUUUGAAAGCGGAUUUAAUAGUAAAUUUUUAAAGAUAAAAGGAUUGAUUUUAGCUCUAAAAUAUGCACACAUCGCCCGUCGCUCUUGUUAUUAAUAUAAGAUAAGUCGUAACAUAGUAGAUGUACUGGAAAGUGUAUCUAGAAUGAC
This 792-nucleotide non-coding RNA is filed under the name Gymnopternus bomiensis. The record is from RNAcentral. Lineage: Eukaryota; Metazoa; Arthropoda; Insecta; Diptera; Dolichopodidae.